This 490-nucleotide ribosomal RNA is filed under the name uncultured bacterium. RNAcentral's name for it is "partial 16S ribosomal RNA". It matches the Rfam family "Bacterial small subunit ribosomal RNA", at positions 30 to 507 of the family's 1533-position model. The record is from RNAcentral.
AUUGAACGCUGGCGGCAUGCUUUACACAUGCAAGUCGGACGGCAGCACAGAGAAGCUUGCUUCUUGGGUGGCGAGUGGUGAACGGGUGAGUAAUAUAUCGGAACGUACCGAGUAAUGGGGGAUAACUAAUCGAAAGAUUAGCUAAUACCGCAUAUUCUCUGAGGAGGAAAGCAGGGGACCUUCGGGCCUUGCGUUAUUCGAGCGGCCGAUAUCUGAUUAGCUAGUUGGUGGGGUAAAGGCCUACCAAGGCGACGAUCAGUAGCGGGUCUGAGAGGAUGAUCCGCCACACUGGGACUGAGACACGGCCCAGACUCCUACGGGAGGCAGCAGUGGGGAAUUUUGGACAAUGGGCGCAAGCCUGAUCCAGCCAUGCCGCGUGUCUGAAGAAGGCCUUCGGGUUGUAAAGGACUUUUGUCAGGGAAGAAAAGGCUGUUGCUAAUAUCAAUAGCUGAUGACGGUACCUGAAGAAUAAGCACCGGCUAACUACGUG